AGUGAACGCUGGCGGUAGGCCUAACACAUGCAAGUCGAACGGCAGCACAGUAAGAGCUUGCUCUUACGGGUGGCGAGUGGCGGACGGGUGAGGAAUACAUCGGAAUCUACUUUUUCGUGGGGGAUAACGUAGGGAAACUUACGCUAAUACCGCAUACGACCUACGGGUGAAAGCAGGGGAUCUUCGGACCUUGCGCGAUUGAAUGAGCCGAUGUCGGAUUAGCUAGUUGGCGGGGUAAAGGCCCACCAAGGCGACGAUCCGUAGCUGGUCUGAGAGGAUGAACCGCCCACAUGGAACUGAGAACAGGUCCAGACUCCUAAGGGAAGCCGCCGUGGGGAAUAUUUGGAAAAGGGGGGAAGCCUGAACCAGCCCAAACGCGUGGGGGAAAGAAGCCCUCGGGGUGGAAAGCCCUUUUUUUUGGGAAAAAAAAGCGGCGGUUUAAACCCCGCCUGUUUGAAGGUAACCAAAAAAAAAGCCACGGCUAAAUUCGGG
RNAcentral lists this ribosomal RNA (492 nucleotides) under uncultured bacterium. RNAcentral's name for it is "partial 16S ribosomal RNA". It matches the Rfam family "Bacterial small subunit ribosomal RNA", at positions 29 to 507 of the family's 1533-position model. The record is from RNAcentral.